This 823-nucleotide ribosomal RNA is filed under the name Gammaproteobacteria bacterium. RNAcentral's name for it is "partial 23S ribosomal RNA". It matches the Rfam family "Bacterial large subunit ribosomal RNA", at positions 1 to 835 of the family's 2925-position model. The record is from RNAcentral. Lineage: Bacteria; Pseudomonadati; Pseudomonadota; Gammaproteobacteria.
GUACAAUAAGCUAAGUAAGGGCGUAUGGGGGAUGCCUAGGCUCUCAGAGGCGAAGAAGGACGUGAUAAGCUGCGAUAAGCUGCGGGGAGUGGCACAUACACUAUGAUCCGCAGAUUUCCGAAUGGGGCAACCCACUAUAUUGAAGAUAUAGUAUCCGUUAAGGAGGCGAACCCGGAGAACUGAAACAUCUAAGUACCCGGAGGAGAAGAAAACAAAAGUGAUUCCGCUAGUAGUGGCGAGCGAACGCGGAUUAGCCCAAACCAAUGUUGUUACGGCAAUAUUGGGGUUGUAGGACCACGAUAUUGGAUGCUUAAUGAACUGGAACACUUUGGAAAGAGUGGCCAUAGAGGGUGAUAGUCCCGUAUAGGUAAGGACAGUUAUUGAUAGUGGUAUCCUGAGUAGCGCGGGGCACGUGAAACCCUGUGUGAAUCUGGCGGGACCAUCCGCUAAGGCUAAAUACUCCUGAGAGACCGAUAGUGAACUAGUACCGUGAGGGAAAGGUGAAAAGAACCCUGAAUAAGGGAGUGAAAUAGAACCUGAAACCAUACGCUUACAAGCGGUCGGAGCGCGUUUUACGUGUGACGGCGUGCCUUUUGCAUAAUGAGCCUACGAGUUACCGUUUCUAGCAAGGUUAAGCACUUCAGGUGCGGAGCCGUAGCGAAAGCGAGUCUGAAUAGGGCGAUUAAGUUAGUGGCGGUAGACGCGAAACCGUGUGAUCUACCCAUGGGCAGGGUGAAGCUGUGGUAACACACAGUGGAGGCCCGAACCCGUUGACGUUGAAAAGUCUUGGGAUGACCUGUGGGUAGGGGUGAAAGGCCAAUCA